GCCAAAAAUCAAGUAUGGCGAAAUCUGUGAAUGAUUCUUGCACUGGUGCUUUCUCCAACGGGUCCUAAACUUUACACUUUGGAUAGAGUGGAGCUGCUGCUGCGUACGGAGACUGGAUAGAAAUCACCACAUUCAUGAGGGUGUUUGUUCAGAAAUGGUCAGAGGAGACCUGUACCAGGGAAUGAUGCAGUCCAUGUCCAUGAGGAGGAGGACACUGAAGGCAGAUGUGCUCCGGAAGGCCUGCAGGAUGGGGAGGGCCAAGAAGGUUGAAUUCAUGGGAGUGGAGAAGCAAGCCAACUGCAACCACCUGAAAGCUGUGUCGACUAGAAUGAGCCCUUGAGACGCUCCCUCCUCCCUCAUCAUAUUCUCCCUUGCAGUGUUCAUCCAGCCGGACAGUCGAUGGUGUUCACCUUACACCCCCCAGAGGAGUACUGAGGCCGUCUUCCUCAUCCUCUUCAUCAGUCUUCUCAGGAAUGGUACCCCAACAAUUGAUUCCUACAGUCGCCUAGGUAAGAGUUUGUCUGGUUGACCAGUGCUGGGUCGUGUUAAUUCGUGCACACUAUAGCAAAAUA
RNAcentral lists this long non-coding RNA (572 nucleotides) under Oncorhynchus kisutch (coho salmon). RNAcentral's name for it is "lncRNA (ENSOKIG00005004922.1)". Lineage: Eukaryota; Metazoa; Chordata; Actinopteri; Salmoniformes; Salmonidae. The record is from RNAcentral.